GUGGGGAAUCUUAGACAAUGGGGGAAACCCUGAUCUAGCCAUGCCGCGUGAGCGAUGAAGGCCUUAGGGUUGUAAAGCUCUUUCAGAGGGGAAGAUAAUGACGGUACCCUAAGAAGAAGCCCCGGCUAACUCCGUGCCAGCAGCCGCGGUAAUACGGAGGGGGCUAGCGUUGUUCGGAAUUACUGGGCGUAAAGCGCACGUAGGCGGACCAGAAAGUCAGGGGUGAAAUCCCGGGGCUCAACCCCGGAACUGCCUUUGAAACUCCUGGUCUUGAGGUCGAGAGAGGUGAGUGGAAUUCCGAGUGUAGAGGUGAAAUUCGUAGAUAUUCGGAGGAACACCAGUGGCGAAGGCGGCUCACUGGCUCGAUACUGACGCUGAGGUGCGAAAGCGUGGGGAGCAAACAGGAUUAGAUACCCGAGUAGUCC
Molecule: ribosomal RNA, 425 nt
Filed under: uncultured bacterium
Lineage: Bacteria
Description: bacterial SSU rRNA
Rfam family: Bacterial small subunit ribosomal RNA
Source: RNAcentral